Molecule: ribosomal RNA, 592 nt
Filed under: uncultured fungus
Lineage: Eukaryota; Fungi
Description: eukaryotic LSU rRNA
Rfam family: Eukaryotic large subunit ribosomal RNA
Source: RNAcentral
ACCCGCUGAACUUAAGCAUAUCAAUAAGCGGAGGAAAAGAAACCAACAGGGAUUGCCCUAGUAACGGCGAGUGAAGCGGCAACAGCUCAAAUUUGAAAUCUGGCCUCGGCCCGAGUUGUAAUUUGCAGAGGAAGCUUUAGGCGCGGCACCAACUGAGUCCCCUGGAACGGGGCGCCAUAGAGGGUGAGAGCCCCGUAUAGUUGGACGCCUAGCCUGUGUAAAGCUCCUUCGACGAGUCGAGUAGUUUGGGAAUGCUGCUCAAAAUGGGAGGUAAAUUUCUUCUAAAGCUAAAUACCGGCCAGAGACCGAUAGCGCACAAGUAGAGUGAUCGAAAGAUGAAAAGCACUUUGAAAAGAGGGUUAAAUAGCACGUGAAAUUGUUGAAAGGGAAGCGCUUGUGACCAGACUUGCGCCGGGCGGAUCAUCCGGUGUUCUCACCGGUGCACUCCGCCCGGCUCAGGCCAGCAUCGGUUCUCGCGGGGGGAUAAAGGCCUCGGGAACGUAGCUCCUCCGGGAGUGUUAUAGCCCGGGGCGCAAUGCCCUCGCGGGGACCGAGGUUCGCGCAUCUGCAAGGAUGCUGGCGUAAUGGUCAU